RNAcentral lists this long non-coding RNA (383 nucleotides) under Arabidopsis thaliana (thale cress). Its description in RNAcentral is "long non-coding RNA (ATHA_LNC000681)". Lineage: Eukaryota; Viridiplantae; Streptophyta; Magnoliopsida; Brassicales; Brassicaceae. The record is from RNAcentral.
UCGUUUCUUCCAAUUUGCUCGCAAACAGCUCCAAAUCACCUGAAAACAACUCAGAAAUGCAAUAUGUAUGCAAAGCUAUCCUAAUCAUGCAAAGUAUGCAAGAAUGAUGAGAAAUGAUAUGAAACAGUGAUGAAUGAUACGAAACUGGACUCAAAACGAUGAUGAAUGGACACUGAAAACAUGCAAAUUAUAGACAUAUCACCUAUGUAUGUGUUCUUGAUUGUACGCUUCACCAUUUUAUUGCCUCUUCCACUUGUUUCUAUAUCGUCAGGAGCCUCUUCUUCCCGAUCAAACCAAAACAACACAUGAACUUUUUCUCCUUCUCGUUCUUUUUAUUUUCUCCCCUUUCGGAUUCUCUGUUAUUGUAUAUCCUUUUAAUGUUG